Long non-coding RNA from Grammomys surdaster, 683 nucleotides. RefSeq lists it as uncharacterized. The record is from RefSeq and is a predicted model, not a curated record. The transcript has 2 exons. NCBI's taxonomy places the organism in Eukaryota, Metazoa, Chordata, Mammalia, Rodentia, Muridae.
AGCCACGUACAUCUUCAUGUGAUCAGCCAGGAUUUUGAUUCUCCUUGCCUUAAAAACAAAAAGCAUUGGAAUUCUUUCAAUACAGAAUACUUUCUGGAAUCACAAGCUGUGAUCAAGAUGGUUCAGGAAGCUGGCAGAGUAACUGUUAAAGAUGGGACUUGUGAACUCUUGAAGCUGCCUCUCCGUUGCCAUGAGUGUCAGCAGCUGCUGCCUUCCAUCCCACAGCUGAAAGAGCACCUCAGGAAGCACUGGGGCAGGUGACAUUUGCCUUGGCGACCGAGUGCAGUGCUAGCAUUUGUCUGCAUUGUCCAUGCUCUGUUCAAUUCUGAACUAAAGCAUACAGCUCUUCAAAACAAAGCUUAUUUAUUCUUGAGCAGCAACAUAUAGAGUGACUCUGGUUGAGGAACUGGGAAUUCGGGCUUGUAUAGUCUGUGCUGAGGGCAGCCUGGGCAGUGUGAACUGUCAGUAAACAGUAUAGUCUGUUCUGAGAGUAGCCUGAGGCAGUGUGAACUGUCAGUGAACAGUAUAGUCUGUGCUGAGGGCAGCCUGGGCAGUGUAUAUUGUUAGCUUUAGGCAAAUUUUACUGAGGCUUCAGCCACUACUUUUGAGAAUUACAGACAUUUAACUAAACUUUAGAGAAUGUUUCCCCAAUGUAUCUUGGAAUAAACUGAUGUUGCAAAAUA